UACGGAAGGCAGCAGUGGGGAAUAUUGCACAAUGGGCGCAAGCCUGAUGCAGCCAUGCCGCGUGUAUGAAGAAGGCCUUCGGGUUGUAAAGUACUUUCAGUCGUGAGGAAGGUGUUAAGGUUAAUAACCUUAGCAAUUGACGUUAGCGACAGAAGAAGCACCGGCUAACUCCGUGCCAGCAGCCGCGGUAAUACGGAGGGUGCGAGCGUUAAUCGGAAUUACUGGGCGUAAAGGGCACGCAGGCGGUUAAUUAAGUUGGAUGUGAAAUCCCCGGGCUUAACCUGGGAAUGGCAUUCAAGACUGGUUAGCUAGAGUCUUGUAGAGGGGGUAGAAUUCCGAUGUGUAGCGGUGAAAUGCGUAGAGAUGUGGAGGAAUACCGGGUGGCGAAGGCGGCCCCUGGGACAAAGGACUGACGCUCAUGUGCGAAAGCGUGGGGAGCGAAACAGGGAUUAGAUACC
RNAcentral lists this ribosomal RNA (458 nucleotides) under uncultured bacterium. Its description in RNAcentral is "bacterial SSU rRNA". It matches the Rfam family "Bacterial small subunit ribosomal RNA", at positions 340 to 786 of the family's 1533-position model. The record is from RNAcentral.